Molecule: ribosomal RNA, 253 nt
Filed under: uncultured bacterium
Lineage: Bacteria
Description: partial 16S ribosomal RNA
Rfam family: Bacterial small subunit ribosomal RNA
Source: RNAcentral
UACGUAGGGGGCAAGCGUUGUCCGGAUUUAUUGGGCGUAAAGAGCGUGUGGGCGGCUUUACAGGUCCGUUGUGAAAACUCGAGGCUCAACCUCGAGACGCCGGUGGAAACCGUAAAGCUAGAGUCCGGAAGAGGAGAGUGGAAUUCCUGGUGUAGCGGUGAAAUGCGCAGAUAUCAGGAAGAACACCCGUGGCGAAGGCGGCUCUCUGGGACGGUACUGACGCUGAGACGCGAAAGCGUGGGGAGCGAACAGG